UGCCAAGGUUGAUGAUCCCAUGAACAAAAGU
RNAcentral lists this non-coding RNA (31 nucleotides) under Mus musculus (house mouse). Lineage: Eukaryota; Metazoa; Chordata; Mammalia; Rodentia; Muridae. The record is from RNAcentral.